UUUACGUCCAUGACAAGAGAGAUUUGUAUCGGUAGGUGUUACCGUAAAGGUUACCUAUAUGCUGGUAUUCAGAACGGCAAUGAAUGUCGAUGUGGGAACAGUUUUGGACGACAUGGAGCGGACCCAGCUGGUUGUGACAAGCCGUGUGCAGGAAACAAGGCGGACAUGUGUGGUGGUGCUUUGAAGAAUGACGUUUUUGCUACAGGACUUACUUUGCCACCAGAACCAAGCCGCUGCGGUCCUGGAUCACGUGGUAUUAUCGUCAAUCAGAAAUGUUACUAUCUUGUUUCUGAAGAGCGCAACUAUAUGUCAGCACAACGCGGAUGCGCCUUAUUAGGUGGUAAUUUGGCUAGCAUACAUUCUGCCACAGAGCAAGAAAUAAUCACUGGUUAUCUUCGACAAGGAUCUGGCGACGUUUGGUUUGGGUUAAAUGACGUCACAAAGGAAGGGGUGUUUGAAUUUAUAGACGGUAGCCAAACAUCUGAAUUUUCCUUUUUUAAAAAUGGCGCUCCUAGCAACUGGUGGGGUGAAGAAGAUUAUGGAAUAAUGGACAGCAAGGCUAUGUAUAAAUGGGAUGACCGUGGACGAGACGAGAAAAGACGAUUCCUGUGUCAACUUCCAUCUACCCCUGUUUCAAACGUUAUAGAAAGUUGUGGUUUUAAGAACCAGGGUGUAAAAUUAGGAUCAACAGGUGGGUGUUAUGCUGUUAUUAAUACUGGUAUGACGAGAGAAGAUGCUGAAUAUUCAUG
Molecule: long non-coding RNA, 749 nt
Organism: Patella vulgata (common limpet)
Lineage: Eukaryota; Metazoa; Mollusca; Gastropoda; Patellidae
Exons: 4
Source: RefSeq, a predicted model, not a curated record